GGAAGGGAGCUUGCUCCCGGAUGUUAGCGGCGGACGGGUGAGUAACACGUGGGUAACCUGCCUGUAAGACUGGGAUAACUCCGGGAAACCGGAGCUAAUACCGGAUAGUUCCUUGAACCGCAUGGUUCAAGGAUGAAAGACGGUUUCGGCUGUCACUUACAGAUGGACCCGCGGCGCAUUAGCUAGUUGGUGGGGUAAUGGCUCACCAAGGCGACGAUGCGUAGCCGACCUGAGAGGGUGAUCGGCCACACUGGGACUGAGACACGGCCCAGACUCCUACGGGAGGCAGCAGUAGGGAAUCUUCCGCAAUGGACGAAAGUCUGACGGAGCAACGCCGCGUGAGUGAUGAAGGUUUUCGGAUCGUAAAGCUCUGUUGUUAGGGAAGAACAAGUGCGAGAGUAACUGCUCGCACCUUGACGGUACCUAACCAGAAAGCCACGGCUAACUACGUGCCAGCAGCCGCGGUAAUACGUAGGUGGCAAGCGUUGUCCGGAAUUAUUGGGCGUAAAGGGCUCGCAGGCGGUUUCUUAAGUCUGAUGUGAAAGCCCCCGGCUCAACCGGGGAGGGUCAUUGGAAACUGGGAAACUUGAGUGCAGAAGAGGAGAGUGGAAUUCCACGUGUAGCGGUGAAAUGCGUAGAGAUGUGGAGGAACACCAGUGGCGAAG
RNAcentral lists this ribosomal RNA (665 nucleotides) under Bacillus sp. FJAT-4500. RNAcentral's name for it is "bacterial SSU rRNA". It matches the Rfam family "Bacterial small subunit ribosomal RNA", at positions 70 to 720 of the family's 1533-position model. Lineage: Bacteria; Bacillati; Bacillota; Bacilli; Caryophanales; Bacillaceae. The record is from RNAcentral.